GAUGAACGCUGGCGGCGUGCCUAAUACAUGCAAGUCGAGCGAACGGGCCAUGAGCUUGCUUCUCUGAUGUUAGCGGCGGACGUGUGAGUCACACGUGUAUCACCUACCUAUCAUACUGGGAUCACUUCGGGACACCGGAGCUAAUCCCGUAUGAUAUUUUGCACCACAUGGUUCGAAAGUGAAAUACGGUCUUUCUGGCACUUCUAGAUGCAUCCGCGCUGGAUUAGCUGGUUGGUAAUGUAACGGCUUACCAAGGCAAGUAUGCCUAUCCGACGUGAGAGGGUGAUAGGCCGCACGAGAGCUGAGCCACGGACAAGACGACUACGGUACGCAGCAGUAGCGAAUGUUACGCAAUGGGGGAGAGUCUGACGGAGCGACGCCGAGUGAGAGACAACGGUCUUCGGAUCGUAAUACCCUGUUACCAGGGAAAAACCUAUGUGUAAGGAAAUGUGGAGAGAUUGACGGUAACUAAUAAGAAAGCAACGGCUAACUACGUG
Molecule: ribosomal RNA, 497 nt
Filed under: uncultured bacterium
Lineage: Bacteria
Description: partial 16S ribosomal RNA
Rfam family: Bacterial small subunit ribosomal RNA
Source: RNAcentral